This 489-nucleotide ribosomal RNA is filed under the name Actinomyces sp. 'ARUP UnID 53'. RNAcentral's name for it is "bacterial SSU rRNA". It matches the Rfam family "Bacterial small subunit ribosomal RNA", at positions 27 to 504 of the family's 1533-position model. The record is from RNAcentral. Lineage: Bacteria; Bacillati; Actinomycetota; Actinomycetes; Actinomycetales; Actinomycetaceae.
GGACGAACGCUGGCGGCGUGCUUAACACAUGCAAGUCGAACGGUGAAGGGACYGGUUUUUGCUGGUUCUGGAUGAGUGGCGAACGGGUGAGUAACACGUGAGUAACCUGCCCCCUUCUUCUGGAUAACCGCAUGAAAGUGUGGCUAAUACGGGAUAUUCUGCGCCUGCUGCAUGGUGGGUGUGGGAAAGAUAUUGUUUCGGUGGGGGAUGGGCUCGCGGCCUAUCAGCUUGUUGGUGGGGUGAUGGCCUACCAAGGCGGUGACGGGUAGCCGGCCUGAGAGGGUGGACGGUCACACUGGGACUGAGACACGGCCCAGACUCCUACGGGAGGCAGCAGUGGGGAAUAUUGCACAAUGGGCGCAAGCCUGAUGCAGCGACGCCGCGUGAGGGAUGGAGGCCUUCGGGUUGUAAACCUCUUUCGCCAGUGAAGCAGGCCUGUCCCUUGUGGGUGGGUUGACGGUAGCUGGAUAAGAAGCGCCGGCUAACUAC